RNAcentral lists this transfer RNA (70 nucleotides) under Podarcis lilfordi (Lilford's wall lizard). Its description in RNAcentral is "tRNA.Ile". The stretch from base 3 to 63 matches the Rfam family "tRNA", at positions 7 to 64 of the family's 71-position model. From Rfam's summary of the family: Transfer RNA (tRNA) molecules are approximately 80 nucleotides in length. Their secondary structure includes four short double-helical elements and three loops (D, anti-codon, and T loops). The record is from RNAcentral. Lineage: Eukaryota; Metazoa; Chordata; Lepidosauria; Squamata; Lacertidae.
GUUUAGCUCAGUUGGUAAGAGCGUGGUGCUGAUAAUGCCAAGGUUGCAGGUUUGAUCCCCGUAUGGGACA